Salvelinus sp. IW2-2015 is the source of this 97-nucleotide non-coding RNA. Lineage: Eukaryota; Metazoa; Chordata; Actinopteri; Salmoniformes; Salmonidae. The record is from RefSeq and is a predicted model, not a curated record.
UGGUAGGGCUAUUUAACGGUAGGAAGAGACAACAUGGUAGGGUAUUUAAGGCAGGAAGAGACAACAUGGUAGGGUAUUUAAGGCAGGAAGAGACAAC